GAUGAACGCUGGCGGCGUGCCUAAUACAUGCAAGUCGAGCGAAGGGACGCUGGUCUUGCUACUCUGAUGUUUGCGGCGCGCGGGUGAGUGACACGUGUAUAACCUCCCUAUCAGACUCGGAUAACUUCGGUAGACAGGAUAUCAAACCGGAGAAUAUUGUAAACCUCGUGUUUCAGAAGUGAAAGAGUGUGUUGCUCUAACAUAUUGAUAUAUCCGCGCUGCAUUAGCUAGUUGGUAAGGUAACGGCUUACCAAGGCAACGAUGCAUAGCCGACCUGAGAGGGUGAUCGGCCACACUGGAACUGAGACACGGUCCAGACUCCUACGGGAGGCAGCAGUAGGGAAUCUUCCGCAAUGGGCGAAAGCCUGACGGAGCAACGCCGCGUGAGUGAUGAAGGAUUUCGGAUCGUAAAGCUCUGUUGUUAGGGAAGAACAGAUGUGUAAUUAAUAGAGAACAAAGUGACGGUACCUAACCAGAAAGCCACGGCUAACUACGUG
This 497-nucleotide ribosomal RNA is filed under the name uncultured bacterium. RNAcentral's name for it is "partial 16S ribosomal RNA". It matches the Rfam family "Bacterial small subunit ribosomal RNA", at positions 28 to 507 of the family's 1533-position model. The record is from RNAcentral.